GGCGCGACCCGCCCCUUUUCUCACCCCGCCUCCUCCUCAGCCCCACCCUCCUUCGCUCCUCCUCUUGUCACUCCCUUUCAGACAUGCGCAGUGCGGCCCGUCCCUAGGAGUGGGUUAAGGGACGCGGAUGUGGCCGUUCUCAGGCCUCUUGGGAUCGCCUCAAGAAGCCCCCUCAAGAGUGUCUCGAUUUCCUGCCAGCCAACAAGGGCCGUUCGCCUCUCAUGGCCUCCACAGCAGGGUUGCCGUGGCUGUCACAAAUCCUCUGCAUCCCAGGAGCGCCGCUUGGACCCCCGGGCUCACUGCGUGGCCCGUAUCUAGGCCGGGCCUCUCACGGAGACUUUCCCGCCAGUGUAAUAAAGAGGAGAAAACGUCACAGCGGAAGGGCCUGACCCUAAGGAAACAGCUACGGGGAUGGGACCCUGUAAGCUGCUGUGGGAGCCUCAUCCACCACUUCUCUGACCCCACCCAGGCUGCUUCCCAGGCGUUAGGGUCCUAGUGUGGACCUCCUGGCCAUGAUUAAUGCAGUUUUUCAGAUUAAGUACUGCAGGACUACUUACUUCUGAAACUCAUAGACACUGCCUCAGCUCUGUGCAGGGCAGAUGCACAAGAGCUGAAUCUCCGUGGGACAGCUCUCUGGAGCAUCAAUAUUACUGCAGUAUUUGGAAGAAACAAAUUUAAAUAAGUUCUAAUGUAAAGAAUGGAACAUUUAAGACAAGUCUGGAAAGUCAUCUGCCUUUAGUAACUGUCGUCUGUCCCUCACAUGUCAGACUUUCUCCAAGACAAAAACUCUAAGAACUUAUUUCCAUUCUUAUA
RNAcentral lists this small RNA (813 nucleotides) under Pongo abelii (Sumatran orangutan). RNAcentral describes it as "processed transcript". Lineage: Eukaryota; Metazoa; Chordata; Mammalia; Primates; Hominidae. The record is from RNAcentral.